ACCCGUCCCUCCGCUCACGCGAGAUGAGAGUCUCUGACGUCAGGACUCAGGAGAGUAGACUCUAGGCGCACAGGCGCAGCAAAAGCCCGCCAGAGCAGAUUUAAAAGAGGCAGAGCCCCGCCCCCCAGCAGUGUGUGCCUGUGCCAGCACAGAUUAGAGGGCUCAGGGCGCGAUUCUCCGAGGAAGAAAGAAGAGGACCGACCGACCGACCAACCGACCGACAGACAGACACCAAGGGCGAGCGCUGGGCAUUGCAGCAGAAGUACUGCACUCCAGGACCAUCUUCUCCUGCCUCACUGCCUGCUGGACUGGUCUAUAGACUGUGAGAACAAAUUGGUUCCUUUCUACUUGAUGCCUCCUCGUUGGACCUGGCUGGUUAAUUUUGAUGUUUCAUUUGGAUUUCUGUUCUGGUUGAGAAGCACAACUCGUGCUUAUUCACAAUCAAAUUUUGUGAGAACAAAUUGGUUCCUUUCUACUUGAUGCCUCCUCGUUGGACCUGGCUGGUUAAUUUUGAUGUUUCAUUUGGAUUUCUGUUCUGGUUAAGAAGCACAACUCGUGCUUAUUCACAAUCAAAUUUUGUGAGAACAAAUUGGUUCCUUUCUACUUGAUGCCUCCUCGUUGGACCUGGCUGGUUAAUUUUGAUGUUUCAUUUGGAUUUCUGUUCUGGUUAAGAAGCAUGACUCGUUCCUUUUCACAUUCAAAUUUUGUGAGAACAAAUUGGUUCCUUUCUACUUGAUGCCUCCUCGUUGGACCUGGCUGGUUAAUUUUGAUGUUUUAUUUGGAUUUCUGUUCUUGUUAAGAAGCACAACUCGUACUUAUUCACAAUCAAAUUUCAGUGAUUUACCAAGAUAUGGGUCAAGAAGCUUUAUGCCUUAUGUGGAGAAUCUUUGUUCUGGAACGCUUUUAACAUUUUUUUCUAUAUUUUAUAUGGUAACAUUAAAAAAUUAAAACCCCUA
Molecule: long non-coding RNA, 956 nt
Organism: Bufo gargarizans (Asiatic toad)
Lineage: Eukaryota; Metazoa; Chordata; Amphibia; Anura; Bufonidae
Exons: 6
Source: RefSeq, a predicted model, not a curated record